Molecule: ribosomal RNA, 512 nt
Filed under: uncultured Planctomycetota bacterium
Lineage: Bacteria; Pseudomonadati; Planctomycetota
Description: bacterial SSU rRNA
Rfam family: Bacterial small subunit ribosomal RNA
Source: RNAcentral
ACUCCUACGGGAGGCAGCAGUCGAGGAUCUUCGUCAAUGGGCGCAAGCCUGAACGAGCGAUGCCGCGUGCGCGAUGAAGGCCUUCGGGUUGUAAAGCGCUGUCGAGGGGGGGAAAAGCCCGCAAGGGUCUGAUCUAUCCCUGGAGGAAGCUCGGGCUAAGUUCGUGCCAGCAGCCGCGGUAAGACGAACCGAGCGAACGUUGUUCGGAAUCACUGGGCUUAAAGGGCGCGUAGGCGGGCUGUCAAGUCUGGGGUGAAAUCCCGCGGCUCAACCGUGGAACUGCCUUAGAUACUGACGGCCUCGAGGGAGGUAGGGGCGAGCGGAACUCUCAGUGGAGCGGUGAAAUGCGUUGAUGUUGGGAGGAACUCCGGUGGCGAAAGCGGCUCGCUGGGCCUCUUCUGACGCUGAUGCGCGAAGGCUAGGGGAGCAAACGGGAUUAGAUACCCCGGUAGUCCUAGCCCUAAACGAUGGGUACUGGGUAGUAGACUAGACAUGGGUUUACUGCCGCAGCA